ACCUCAGCACGGGCGAAGAUAAAAGUGAGAUAGUUAUUGAAAUCAGGGAAGUGAGAGUAGUGUUGAAGUUGUUGCCAAAUCUGAGACUUAUCAGAAGUAGCAGGUGACAUUUGUUACUCCAAUAAUUCACAGAUAUCUUUGAACCCUUCCUCCUGCAACUGCAAUAUUAGACAUUUGUUGCUCCAAUAAUCCACAGAUCUCUUUGAACCCUUCCUCCUGCGGCUGCCAUGUUGAAUUCGCCGUUGUCGCCAUAGAAGUUUCUAGAAAAAGAACAAAGAAGAUUGCAGAAUACUGGGAAUUUCGGACAAGUUGUGAAAGGGAGGGGCGAUGACGACGAAUGUGUGUUUAAUGUUUAAAAGAAGAAGAAGAGGGGUUUGGAGCGAAUGGGGAUCUGGUGCGUACGGGUGUAGUGUAAGUGGUGUGUGGACCCAGUACCAAACGAAUCAAUCAUUGGCUAUUCAGACAUUUGGAACGGUGGAUGGUGGAUACUACUGUACUCUGGAGGUGCCACUUUAGCUUUGUUCGACCUGUCCCAUUUC
Molecule: long non-coding RNA, 539 nt
Filed under: Nicotiana benthamiana
Lineage: Eukaryota; Viridiplantae; Streptophyta; Magnoliopsida; Solanales; Solanaceae
Description: long non-coding RNA (NBEN_LNC012469)
Source: RNAcentral